This is a long non-coding RNA of Arabidopsis thaliana (thale cress), 244 nucleotides long. RefSeq annotates it as other RNA. NCBI's taxonomy places the organism in Eukaryota, Viridiplantae, Streptophyta, Magnoliopsida, Brassicales, Brassicaceae. The record is from RefSeq. The transcript has a single exon.
CAGAAGUCAUCUUCUUAACUCGAAAAACCAUUCUCCGUCUGAUGAAAUCUCUCUUCAUGUUCUCUUCUUUCUUUAUCUUCUUGCCCAUAUCGGCCUCUUUCUUGUGCCUCCUCGUUAUCUCUGAUGGUUUAGGUAGUUUGAUCUUGAUCGUUCCUUGUUCCAUUGAAACCCUAAACUUCUACGACGUUGACACAGACGAGUCUUGGCGAGUCUUUGCUCGUCUCAGGGAUGAUUUUAGAGUUUG